GAUGAACGCUGGCGGCAUGCCUAAUACAUGCAAGUCGGACGAGGAUGUUUCUACAUCCUAGUGGCGAACGGGUGAGUAACACGUAGGGAACCUGCCCCUAAGACGAGGAUAACUACUGGAAACGGUAGCUAAUACUGGAUAGGAUAAGUUGACGCAUGUUGGCUUAUUUAAAGGUGCCUAUAAAGCACCGCUUAGGGAUGGCCCUGCGGCGCAUUAGCUAGUUGGUGGGGUAACGGCCUACCAAGGCGACGAUGCGUAGCUGUGCUGAGAGGCAGAACAGCCACACUGGGACUGAGACACGGCCCAGACUCCUACGGGAGGCAGCAAUAGGGAAUUUUCGGCAAUGGGGGGAACCCUGACCGAGCGAUGCCGCGUGAGUGAUGAAGGUCUUCGGACUGUAAAACUCUAGUUAUUAGGGAAGAAUACUAUAGGGAGGAAAUGACCUUAUAGAUGACGGUACCUAAUGAGGAAGCCCCGGCCAACUAGUGCCAGCAGCCG
This 498-nucleotide ribosomal RNA is filed under the name uncultured bacterium. RNAcentral describes it as "bacterial SSU rRNA". It matches the Rfam family "Bacterial small subunit ribosomal RNA", at positions 28 to 517 of the family's 1533-position model. The record is from RNAcentral.